AGCAGCCGCGGUAAUUCCAGCUCCAAUAGCGUAUAUUAAAGUUGUUGCAGUUAAAAGCUCGUAGUUGAAUUUCGGGAUUGACACAUCGGUCGUGCCUUAAGGGGUAUGAACUGGUGUAGUCAAUUUCUCACCUUCUGGAGAACCGCGAUGCCCUUAAUUGGGUGUCGCGGGGAACCAGGACCUUUACUUUGAAAAAAUUAGAGUGUUUAAAGCAGGCAUUUUGCUUGAAUACAUUAGCAUGGAAUAAUAAAAUAGGACGGCAUGAUUCUAUUUUGUUGGUUUCUAGGAUCACCGUAAUGAUUAAUAGGGAUAGUUGGGGGCAUUAGUAUUCAAUUGUCAGAGGUGAAAUUCUUGGAUUUAUUGAAGACUAACUACUGCGAAAGCAUUUGCCAAGGAUGUUUUCAUUAAUCAAGAACGAAAGUUAGGGGAUCGAAGACGAUCAGAUACCGUCGUAGUCUUAACCAUAAACUAUGCCGACUAGGAAUCAGACGAUGUUUAAUUUUUUAAU
Molecule: unclassified non-coding RNA, 508 nt
Filed under: uncultured Glomus
Lineage: Eukaryota; Fungi; Glomeromycota; Glomeromycetes; Glomerales; Glomeraceae
Description: SSU rRNA
Rfam family: Eukaryotic small subunit ribosomal RNA
Source: RNAcentral